RNAcentral lists this long non-coding RNA (805 nucleotides) under Zea mays. RNAcentral describes it as "long non-coding RNA (ZMAY_LNC000665)". The record is from RNAcentral. Lineage: Eukaryota; Viridiplantae; Streptophyta; Magnoliopsida; Poales; Poaceae.
CUGUGGCUAGUGAGUGUCUGGGGCCUAUUGCAUAGUAUAGUAGUAAAAAAACGCGACAUUCAGACGGCGUUGUAUUGCAGAACCUGUCUGCAAACUCUGCAUGAACCAAGGUGCUGUUUGGUUCACGAAAUGUAACGUAAAGGGUAAUGGUAAUGAUUUACACUUGAUUACGGGCGGUAACAAGUUUGAAUAGUCCGGUAUCAAAUUUUAGUACGGUAUCUGAUUACGGUUGGACUAAAACAAACAUGAUUUAACGUAAUCAUUUACUCAUUACGUUUAGAGAUGGCCAAACGGGCCGGCCCGGCCCGGCCCGGCCUGGGCCCGGUGAAGCCCGGCCAAAACCGGGCCGAGCCUGCUGAGCCAGUGGGCUUAAUUUUCUGUCCAAGCCCGGCCCGCAGCGGGCCUAAACGGACCGGGCCGACCCGUUUAGCACGAAAAAACGGGCCGAAAAGCGGGCUAAACGGGCCGGUAAGCACGUUUUAGUGUAAAAAAAACGGGCUUAGAGGUAAACGGGCCGUGCCGGGCUAGCCCGCUGUGCCUAGUUUCCUGUCCAAGCCCGCCCGCUUAUUCUACCGUGCCGGGCUCGGACCGGGCCCAAAAAGCGGGCUUCGUGCCGGGCUCACGGGCCUCGUGCUUUUUGGCCAUCUAUAAUUACGUUACAAAUAUUUGAACCAAACGGUACCCAAGUGAGAAGGAACAAUGCUUUUGGCAGAGAAUUUUAGUUGCAUUAUUUCUUCACCUCGCUUCCCGCGAGAUCACCGGCUAGUUAGAGGAAAACGCAGGUAAAAACGAUUACAACACGCGC